UCUCUGGUGUAGUUGGUAGCACCUUGGCUUAGUAAUCAUAAGCCCCAGGUUCAAGUCCCGGUCGGAGUGAAAAU
Non-coding RNA from Halocaridina rubra (Hawaiian volcano shrimp), 74 nucleotides. Lineage: Eukaryota; Metazoa; Arthropoda; Malacostraca; Decapoda; Atyidae. The record is from the annotation of a GenBank genome assembly.